AGAGUUUGAUCCUGGCUCAGGACGAACGCUGGCGGCGUGCUUAACACAUGCAAGUCGAACGAGGUCCAUGGUGCUUGCACCGGAAGACCUAGUGGCGAACGGGUGAGGAACACGUGAGAAACCUGCCCCGGACUUCGGGAUAACAGUUGGAAACGACUGCUAAUACCGAAUACCGCUGCGGAGUCGCAUGGCUCUGCAACGAAAGAAUUUCGGUCCGGGAGGGUCUCGCGGCCUAUCAGCUAGUUGGUGGGGUAACGGCCUACCAAGGCAUCGACGGGUAGCUGGUCUGAGAGGAUGAUCAGCCACACUGGGACUGAGACACGGCCCAGACUCCUACGGGAGGCAGCAGUGGGGAAUCUUGCGCAAUGGGCGAAAGCCUGACGCAGCAACGCCGCGUGCGGGAAGAAGGCCUUCGGGUUGUAAACCGCUUUCAGCAGGAACGAAAAUGACGGUACCUGCAGAAGAAGGUGCGGCCAACUACGUGCCAGCAGCCGCGGUGACACGUAGGCACCAAGCGUUGUCCGGAUUUAUUGGGCGUAAAGAGCUCGUAGGCGGUUCAGUAAGUCGGGUGUGAAAACUGUGGGCUUAACCCACAGCCUGCACUCGAAACUGCUGUGACUAGAGUUCGGUAGGGGAGCGGGGAAUUCCUGGUGUAGCGGUGAAAUGCGCAGAUAUCAGGAGGAACACCGGGUGGCGAAGGCGCCGCUCUGGGCCGACACUGACGCUGGGGAGCGAAAGCGUGGGUAGCAAACAGGAUUAGAUACCCUGGUAGUCCACGCCGUAAACGUUGGGCACUAGGUGUGGGUCUCAACCAACGAGAUCCGCGCCGUCGCUAACGCAUUAAGUGCCCGCCUGGGGAGUACGGUCGCAAGACUAAAACUCAAGGAAUUGACGG
Molecule: ribosomal RNA, 895 nt
Filed under: uncultured Actinomycetes bacterium
Lineage: Bacteria; Bacillati; Actinomycetota; Actinomycetes
Description: bacterial SSU rRNA
Rfam family: Bacterial small subunit ribosomal RNA
Source: RNAcentral